AAAGAUUAAGCCAUGCAUGUCUAAGUAUAAGCAAUCUAUACAGUGAAACUGCGAAUGGCUCAUUAAAUCAGUUAUCGUUUAUUUGAUAGUACCUUACUACAUGGAUAACCGUGGUAAUUCUAGAGCUAAUACAUGCUAAAAAUCCCGACCUCUGGAAGGGAUGUAUUUAUUAGAUAAAAAACCAAUGCCUUCGGGCUCCUUGGUGAUUCAUGAUAACUUUACGAAUCGCAUGGCCUUGUGCCGGCGAUGGUUCAUUCAAAUUUCUGCCCUAUCAACUUUCGAUGGUAGGAUAGUGGCCUACCAUGGUUUCAACGGGUAACGGGGAAUUAGGGUUCUAUUCCGGAGAGGGAGCCUGAGAAACGGCUACCACAUCCAAGGAAGGCAGCAGGCGCGCAAAUUACCCAAUCCCGACACGGGGAGGUAGUGACAAUAAAUACUGAUACAGGGCCCUUUCGGGUCUUGUAAUCGGAAUGAGUACAAUUUAAAUCCCUUAACGAGGAACAAUUGGAGGGCAAGUCUGGUGCCAGCAGCCGCGGUAAUUCCAGCUCCAAUAGCGUAUAUUAAAGUUGUUGCAGUUAAAAAGCUCGUAGUUGAACUUCGGGCCUGGCUGACCGGUCCGCCUCACCGCGUGCACUGGUUCGGCCGGGUCUUUCCUUCUGGCUAACCUCAUGCCCUUCACUGGGUGUGCUGGGGAACCAGGACUUUUACUUUGAAAAAAUUAGAGUGUUCAAAGCAGGCAUAUGCUCGAAUACAUUAGCAUGGAAUAAUAGAAUAGGACGUGCGGUUCUAUUUUGUUGGUUUCUAGGACCGCCGUAAUGAUUAAUAGG
RNAcentral lists this ribosomal RNA (827 nucleotides) under uncultured Cephaliophora. RNAcentral's name for it is "SSU rRNA". It matches the Rfam family "Eukaryotic small subunit ribosomal RNA", at positions 39 to 876 of the family's 1831-position model. Lineage: Eukaryota; Fungi; Ascomycota. The record is from RNAcentral.